This 407-nucleotide ribosomal RNA is filed under the name uncultured bacterium. RNAcentral's name for it is "partial 16S ribosomal RNA". It matches the Rfam family "Bacterial small subunit ribosomal RNA", at positions 30 to 526 of the family's 1533-position model. The record is from RNAcentral.
AUUGAACGCUGGCGGCAGGCCUAACACAUGCAAGUCGAGCGGAGCGGCGGACGUGUGAGUAAUGCCUAGGAAUCUGCCUGGUAGUGGGGGAUAACGUCCGGAAACGGGCGCUAAUACCGCAUACUAUCAGAUGAGCCUAGGUCGGAUUAGCUAGUUGGUGGGGUAAAGACCUACCAAGGCGACGAUCCGUAACUGGUCUGAGAGGAUGAUCAGUCACACUGGAACGGAGACACGGUCCAGACUCCGACGGGAGGCAGAAGUUGGGAAUAUUGGACCAUGGGCGAAAGCCUGAUGCAGCCAUGCCGCGUGUAUGAAGAAGGCCUUAGGGUUGUAAAGUACUUUCAGCGGGGAGGCGUUACCCACAGAAGAAGCACCGGCUAACUCCGUGCCAGCAGCCGCGGUAAUUC